GACGAACGCUGGCGGCGUGCUUAACACAUGCCAGUCGAGCGGAAAGGCCCUGCGUUUGUGGGGUGCUCGAGAGGCGAACGGAUGAGUAACACGAGAGUAACCUGCCCUUGACUUUGGGAUAACUUCAGGAAACUGGUGCUAAUACCGGAUAGGAGCUCCUGCUGCAUGGUGAGGAAUGGAAAGGUUCGGCGGUUGGGGAUUGACUCGCUGCUUAUCUGCGGGUUGGUGGGGUAUUGGCUUGCCAAGGAUUUGGAGGGUAGCCGGCCUGAGAGGGUGACCGGCACCAGGGGGACUGAGAUACGGCACAGACUAGUACGGGAGGUAGCAGUGUGGUAGGUUGCAUGAUGGGGCGAAGCCUGAUGCAGCAACGCCGCGUGCGGGAUGAUGGCCUGCGGUUUGAAAACCGCUUUCGCCUGUGCCUAAGCGUGAGUGACGGUACCGGAUAAAGAAGCACCGGCUAACUACGUG
Molecule: ribosomal RNA, 468 nt
Filed under: uncultured bacterium
Lineage: Bacteria
Description: partial 16S ribosomal RNA
Rfam family: Bacterial small subunit ribosomal RNA
Source: RNAcentral